This 502-nucleotide ribosomal RNA is filed under the name uncultured bacterium. RNAcentral's name for it is "partial 16S ribosomal RNA". It matches the Rfam family "Bacterial small subunit ribosomal RNA", at positions 28 to 507 of the family's 1533-position model. The record is from RNAcentral.
GACGAACGCUGGCGGCGUGCUUAACACAUGGAAGUCGAACGGUGAAGGGGCCUGCUUUUGUGGGCCCUGGAUGAGUGGCGAACGGGUGAGUAACACGUGAGUAACCUGCCCCCUUCUUCUGGAUAACCGCAUGAAAGUGUGGCUAAUACGGGAUAUUCUGGGUCUGUCGCAUGAUGGGUCUGGGAAAGAUUGCGCCUUUGGGUGUUUUUGGUGGGGGAUGGGCUCGCGGCCUAUCAGCUUGUUGGUGGGGUGAUGGCCUACCAAGGCGGUGACGGGUAGCCGGCCUGAGAGGGUGGACGGUCACACUGGGACUGAGACACGGCCCAGACUCCUACGGGAGGCAGCAGUGGGGAAUAUUGCACAAUGGGCGCAAGCCUGAUGCAGCGACGCCGCGUGAGGGAUGGAGGCCUUCGGGUUGUAAACCUCUUUCGCCAGUGAAGCAGGCCUGCUCCUUGUGGGUGGGUUGACGGUAGCUGGAGAAGAAGCGCCGGCUAACUACGUG